This 77-nucleotide transfer RNA is filed under the name Candidatus Uhrbacteria bacterium RIFOXYB2_FULL_41_18. Its description in RNAcentral is "tRNA-Thr". It matches the Rfam family "tRNA". From Rfam's summary of the family: Transfer RNA (tRNA) molecules are approximately 80 nucleotides in length. Their secondary structure includes four short double-helical elements and three loops (D, anti-codon, and T loops). The record is from RNAcentral. RNAcentral also lists the same sequence under 1 other name. Lineage: Bacteria; Candidatus Uhriibacteriota.
GCCGAUGUAGCUCAGCUGGUUAGAGCAACAGUUUUGUAAACUGUAGGUCGUCGGUUCGAAUCCGACCAUCGGCUCCA